GACUGGAUUCAAGUUUCACCAACAGGGAAACUGGCCCAUGGACAAUUUGCUACAGCUGGAGGACACAGUCCUGCUUGUCAACCACCAGUGUUCCAUGUGAGCAUAGUUCUGAAUCACAACCUACAAGUGAGAACGGAAAGAAGCCCUACUUAAGGGUAUAAAAGAAACGUUAUCUACAGAAAUCCAGAACACUUCUCUAACCUCUUUGGAUUUUCUUGGGAAGAUCAGGACCUGUUGAGAAAUUUU
Long non-coding RNA from Balaenoptera acutorostrata (minke whale), 246 nucleotides. RefSeq lists it as uncharacterized. The record is from RefSeq and is a predicted model, not a curated record. The transcript has 3 exons. Lineage: Eukaryota; Metazoa; Chordata; Mammalia; Artiodactyla; Balaenopteridae.